This 465-nucleotide ribosomal RNA is filed under the name uncultured bacterium. RNAcentral's name for it is "partial 16S ribosomal RNA". It matches the Rfam family "Bacterial small subunit ribosomal RNA", at positions 338 to 795 of the family's 1533-position model. The record is from RNAcentral.
CCUACGGGAGGCAGCAGUGGGGAAUAUUGCGCAAUGGGCGAAAGCCUGACGCAGCGACGCCGCGUGAGGGAUGAAGGUCUUCGGAUCGUAAACCUCUGUCAGCAGGGAGGAACGGUCUCUGGGCUAAUCAGUAGUGAAUUGACGGUACCUGCAAAGGAAGCACCGGCUAACUCCGUGCCAGCAGCCGCGGUCAUACGGAGGGUGCGAGCGUUAAUCGGAAUUACUGGGCGUAAAGCGCACGUAGGCGGUAUGUCAAGUCAAGUGUGAAAUCCCCGGGCUCAACGUGGGAACUGCAUUUGAAACUGGCAAGCUGGAGUGUGUGAGAGGAUAGUGGAAUUCCAGGUGUAGGAGUGAAAUGCGUAGAUAUCUGGAGGAACAUCAGUGGCGAAGGCGACUAUCUGGCACAUAACUGACGCUGAGGUGCGAAAGCGUGGGUAGCAAACAGGAUUAGAUACCCGAGUAGUC